Molecule: ribosomal RNA, 500 nt
Filed under: uncultured Glomeromycotina
Lineage: Eukaryota; Fungi; Glomeromycota
Description: partial small subunit ribosomal RNA
Rfam family: Eukaryotic small subunit ribosomal RNA
Source: RNAcentral
CCAAUAGCGUAUAUUAAAGUUGUUGCUGUUAAAAAGCUCGUAGUUGAACUUCGGGAUCAAUGAAUCGGUCAUGCUUUCGUAUGUACUGGUUUUAUUGGUUCUCACCUUCUAAGGAACCAUAAUGUCAUUCAUUUGAUGUUAUGGGGAAUUAGGACUGUUACCUUGAAAAAAUUAGAGCGUUUAAAGCAGGCUAACGCUUGAAUACAUUAGCAUGGAAUAAUGAAAUAGGACAUCGCAUUUCUAUUUUGUUGGUUUCUAGGAUCGAUGUAAUGAUUAAUAGGGAUAGUUGGGGGCAUUAGUAUUCAAUUGUCAGAGGUGAAAUUCUUGGAUUUAUUGAAGACUAACUACUGCGAAAGCAUUUGCCAAGGAUGUUUUCAUUAAUCAAGAACGAAAGUUAGGGGAUCGAAGACGAUCAGAUACCGUCGUAGUCUUAACCAUAAACUAUGCCGACUAGGGAUCGGAUGAUGUUGAUUUUUUAAUGACUCAUUCGGCACCUUACG